GAUGAAGAACGUAGCGAAAUGCGAUAAGUAAUGUGAAUUGCAGAAUUCAGUGAAUCAUCGAAUCUUUGAACGCACCUUGCGCCCUUUGGCCAUUCCGAAGGGCAUGCCUGUUUGAGUAUCAUGAACACCUCAACUCUUCAUGGUUUUCCAUGAUGAGCUUGGACUUUGGGGGUCUUGCUGGCCUGUGGGUCGGCUCCUCUCAAAUGAAUCAGCUUGCCGGUUUUUGGUGGGCAUCACAGGUGUGAUAACUAUCUACGCUUGUGGUUUUCCACUAGGGUAACCUUCAGCAGUGGAGGUUCACUGGAGCUUACAAAUGUCUCUCCUCUGUGAGGACAGCCCUUUGAAUGUUUGAUCUCAAAUCAGGUAGGACUACCCGCUGAACUUAAGCAUAUCAAUAAGCGGAGGA
RNAcentral lists this unclassified non-coding RNA (406 nucleotides) under soil metagenome. RNAcentral describes it as "partial contains 5.8S ribosomal RNA, internal transcribed spacer 2, and large subunit ribosomal RNA". The stretch from base 1 to 121 matches the Rfam family "5.8S ribosomal RNA", at positions 35 to 154 of the family's 154-position model. The record is from RNAcentral.